UACGUAGGUGGCAAGCGUUGUCCGGAUUUACUGGGCGUAAAGGGCGUGCAGGCGGUCUGUUAAGUCUAGGGUGAAAGCUCCCGGCUCAACUGGGAGAGGUCCUUGGAUACUGGCGGACUUGAGGGAGGCAGAGGAGAAUAGAAUUCCCGGUGUAGUGGUGAUAUGCGUAGAUAUCGUAAGGAAGACCAGUGGCGAAGGCGGGUCUCUGGACAGUUCCUGACGCUGAGGCACGAAGGUCAGGGGAGCAAACGGG
RNAcentral lists this ribosomal RNA (253 nucleotides) under uncultured bacterium. RNAcentral describes it as "partial 16S ribosomal RNA". It matches the Rfam family "Bacterial small subunit ribosomal RNA", at positions 524 to 776 of the family's 1533-position model. The record is from RNAcentral.